UGGGAAGAAUAAGCAGGGGUUAAUACCCCCUACGAUGACGGUACCAUUUGUAAGCUCCGGCUAACUCCGUGCCAGCAGCCGCGGUAAUACGGGGGGAGCAAGCGUUGUUCGGAUUUACUGGGCGUAAAGGGCGCGUAGGCGGCCACGACAAGUCACUUGUGAAAUCUCCGGGCUUAACUCGGAACGGUCAAGUGAUACUGUCGGGCUAGAGUGCAGAAGGGGCAACUGGAAUUCUCGGUGUAGCGGUGAAAUGCGUAGAUAUCGAGAGGAACACCUGCGGCGAAGGCGGGUUGCUGGGCUGACACUGACGCUGAGGCGCGAAAGCCAGGGGAGCGAACGGGAUUAGAUACCCCGGUAGUCCUGGCCUUAAACGAUGAAUGCUUGGUGUCUCGGGUUUUAAAGUCCCGGGGUGCCGUCGCUAACGCUUUUAGCAUUCCGCCUGGGGAGUACGGUCGCAAGACUGAAACUCAAAGGAAUUGACGGGGACCCGCACAAGCGGUGGAGCAUGUGGUUUAAUUCGACGCAACGCGAAGAACCUUACCUGGGCUAGAAUGCCUCUGACCGGCGUGGAGACACGCCUUCCUGGGUAAAACCANGCAGAGUGCAAGGUGCUGCAUGGC
Molecule: ribosomal RNA, 620 nt
Filed under: uncultured Acidobacteriota bacterium
Lineage: Bacteria; Pseudomonadati; Acidobacteriota
Description: bacterial SSU rRNA
Rfam family: Bacterial small subunit ribosomal RNA
Source: RNAcentral